CCUACGGGGGGCUGCAGUGGGGAAUAUUGGACAAUGGGCGAAAGCCUGAUCCAGCCAUGCCGCGUGUGUGAAGAAGGCCUUCGGGUUGUAAAGCACUUUCAGUGGGGAAGAAAGCCUUGGGGCUAAUACCCUCGAGGAAGGACAUCACCCACAGAAGAAGCACCGGCUAACUCCGUGCCAGCAGCCGCGGUAAUACGGAGGGUGCGAGCGUUAAUCGGAAUUACUGGGCGUAAAGCGCGCGUAGGCGGUCUGAUAAGCCGGUUGUGAAAGCCCCGGGCUCAACCUGGGAACGGCAUCCGGAACUGUCAGGCUAGAGUGCAGGAGAGGAAGGUAGAAUUCCCGGUGUAGCGGUGAAAUGCGUAGAGAUCGGGAGGAAUACCAGUGGCGAAGGCGGCCUUCUGGACUGACACUGACGCUGAGGUGCGAAAGCGUGGGUAGCAAACAGGAUUUGAUACCCCUGUAGUC
Molecule: ribosomal RNA, 465 nt
Filed under: Vreelandella stevensii
Lineage: Bacteria; Pseudomonadati; Pseudomonadota; Gammaproteobacteria; Oceanospirillales; Halomonadaceae
Description: partial 16S ribosomal RNA
Rfam family: Bacterial small subunit ribosomal RNA
Source: RNAcentral